GGUCCCAUAGCUCAGUUGGUUAGAGCGUCGUACUAAUAUCACCAACUUCAUCAUUGGUUAUAUAUAGUCAAUGCGAAGGCCGGCGGUUCGAGCCCGCCUGGGACCA
Daldinia bambusicola is the source of this 106-nucleotide non-coding RNA. The record is from the annotation of a GenBank genome assembly. NCBI's taxonomy places the organism in Eukaryota, Fungi, Ascomycota, Sordariomycetes, Xylariales, Hypoxylaceae.